RNAcentral lists this transfer RNA (74 nucleotides) under Diodon hystrix (spot-fin porcupinefish). Its description in RNAcentral is "tRNA-Leu". It matches the Rfam family "tRNA". From Rfam's summary of the family: Transfer RNA (tRNA) molecules are approximately 80 nucleotides in length. Their secondary structure includes four short double-helical elements and three loops (D, anti-codon, and T loops). The record is from RNAcentral. Lineage: Eukaryota; Metazoa; Chordata; Actinopteri; Tetraodontiformes; Diodontidae.
GUUGGGGUGGCAGAGCUCGGCGAUUGCAAAAGGCCUAAGCCCUUUCUACAGAGGUUCAAUUCCUCUCCCCAACU